Molecule: long non-coding RNA, 207 nt
Filed under: Elaeis guineensis (African oil palm)
Lineage: Eukaryota; Viridiplantae; Streptophyta; Magnoliopsida; Arecales; Arecaceae
Description: long non-coding RNA (EGUI_LNC052395)
Source: RNAcentral
GCUUCUGAUGAAAGAUCUGACUUGAUCUCCUUCUUCGAUCACCUCGGACCUUUCUGAUGUUGAAGAUGGAGUAGAGAAAGAUGUUAGAUGGUGGAGAAAACUUUGAUAGAGACUCUCUUCUUUAUAGUUUUUCUCUCACCCAAAAUUCUAGAACAGUUCUAGGUCGCUCACCCGAAAGGAGAAUGGUCUCCUCUUUUGUUCAUGCCA